AACGAACGCUGGCGGCGUGCUUAACACAUGCAAGUCGAACGCGAAAGGGACUUCGGUCCUGAGUAAAGUGGCGCACGGGUGAGUAACGCGUAGAUAACCUGUCUUCAUGUCUGGAAUAAUACGCCGAAAGGGGUACUAAUACCGGAUAUUCUUGCUUUUCAUAAGUUAUGCAAGCAAAGGUGGCCUCUGCAUAUGCUACUGCAUGAAGAGGGGUCUGCGUACCAUUAGCUAGUAGGUGGGGUAAUGGCCUACCUAGGCGACGAUGGUUAGCGGGUCUGAGAGGAUGAUCCGCCACACUGGCACUGGAACACGGGCCAGACUCCUACGGGAGGCAGCAGUGAGGAAUAUUGCGCAAUGGGGGAAACCCUGACGCAGCGACGCCGCGUGAGUGAGGAAAGGCCUUCGGGUCGUAAAGCUCUGUCAAGAGGGAAGAAGUGUACAAUGGCUAAUACCUGUUGUAUUUGACGGUACCUCUAAAGGAAGCACCGGCUAACUCCGUGCCAGCAGCAGC
RNAcentral lists this ribosomal RNA (511 nucleotides) under uncultured bacterium. RNAcentral's name for it is "bacterial SSU rRNA". It matches the Rfam family "Bacterial small subunit ribosomal RNA", at positions 29 to 518 of the family's 1533-position model. The record is from RNAcentral.